This 256-nucleotide ribosomal RNA is filed under the name uncultured bacterium. Its description in RNAcentral is "partial 16S ribosomal RNA". It matches the Rfam family "Bacterial small subunit ribosomal RNA", at positions 524 to 776 of the family's 1533-position model. The record is from RNAcentral.
UACGUAGGGUGCAAGCGUUGUCCGGAAUUAUUGGGCGUAAAGAGCUCGUAGGCGGUGUGUCACGUCGGCCGUGAAAACCUGCAGCUUAACUGUGGGCGUGCGGUCGAUACGGGCAUCACUGGAGUUCGGCAGGGGAGACUGGAAUUCCUGGUGUAGCGGUGAAAUGCGCAGAUAUCAGGAGGAACACCGGUGGCGAAGGCGGGUCUCUGGGCCGAUGACUGACGCUGGAGGAGCGAAAGCGUGGGGAGCGAACAGG